AUGAGUCUAUCCAAACUUUAUCCAAAAUAUUUUGAUGAUGGAGAACUCAGGGACCUUAGACAUCACCUUCAUCUUUACAUUGCUGAUGUCCGAGUAGAUGAUCGCUUCUAUGGUUUAAGUAAUAUUUGUGAGAUUUCUCAAAAAAUGGUGGAGAUAAGGAAACAUAUUGUAUAUCCCUUGGUUUAUCGUCUUUUGAAGCUAGCACUGGUAUUGCAUGUUGCCACUGCUACAAUUGAGAGAUCUUUUUCAGCUAUGAGAAUUGUGAAGACAUAUUUGCGCAAUCUUCUUGGUGACAACACCUUGAAGUACAACCUUAUUUGUUAUGCGGAGAAAAUAGAAAUGAGGAAGGUUAAAAAUGAUGCAGUAAUUGACCGCUUUGAGGCCAUGAAAGAACGCAGGAAACCUUUUUAG
Molecule: ribosomal RNA, 411 nt
Filed under: Triticum aestivum (bread wheat)
Lineage: Eukaryota; Viridiplantae; Streptophyta; Magnoliopsida; Poales; Poaceae
Description: partial small subunit ribosomal RNA
Source: RNAcentral